UACGAAGGGGGCUAGCGUUGCUCGGAAUUACUGGGCGUAAAGGGCGCGUAGGCGGAUAUUUAAGUUAGAGGUGAAAGCCCAGGGCUCAACCCUGGAAUAGCCUUUAAUACUGGAUAUCUUGAGUUCGGGAGAGGUGAGUGGAAUGCCGAGUGUAGAGGUGAAAUGCGUAGAGAUCCGGAGGAACCCCAGAGGCGAAGGCGGCAUCCUGGCCCGCUACUGACACUCAGACACGACAGCAUGGGGAGCGAACGGG
RNAcentral lists this ribosomal RNA (253 nucleotides) under uncultured bacterium. Its description in RNAcentral is "partial 16S ribosomal RNA". It matches the Rfam family "Bacterial small subunit ribosomal RNA", at positions 524 to 776 of the family's 1533-position model. The record is from RNAcentral.